Molecule: long non-coding RNA, 848 nt
Organism: Populus trichocarpa (black cottonwood)
Lineage: Eukaryota; Viridiplantae; Streptophyta; Magnoliopsida; Malpighiales; Salicaceae
Exons: 3
Source: RefSeq, a predicted model, not a curated record
UGUGAGAUGUGGAGGAGCACAAAGCCAUUGCCAUUUAUCUCAAUCGCCUCAUCCGUCAGGGCUACUGUAUCCUUGACCUCACUGCUUGUGGCCUCGGGGAUCCUGAGACCACCCUUACCGAAGUUCAUCCUGUUUGCCCUGCACAUCUGGGGAAGCAGCUCAUAGCAAGGUGGUCUUUUCCCCCCAGAAGUUGAUUUCAGACCUGAACACCUGCCGCCUAAUGCCAAAGGACUUGUGGUUUGGAUAACUGAAGCCAAGGCGUGUCACAUUUCUAUGGUUUUCUCGGGAUCCAAUUAGCGGGAACCAAAAAAGCACAGGCAGCCUUCAAAUCGAUUAAAAAAAAAAAAAACCCACAUUCAGACAUGUUUAUGCAUACCUCAUGUACAGGUUUUAUCCAAGGAAGGACUGCAGUUUCUAGCUCUGCUGCCAACACUCCGCCCUAAUGUCAGAGUCAUUGCUGAACGUGGAAAUUGGUCUUAAUGUUAUAAGCUUAAUUUCACCAUGCAUCCACAGUUUCAUAUUGCAAUCAGUGAAGUCUCAGAAUGAUUGAACCCUGCAAGUUGCCAGUUCGUUUUCCAGCAAACCAUCAUUUGCCAUGUCAAGCAAUGCUUAUGAAACAAUAAUGAUAAUCUUCUUGGUAUCAAAAAAAUCAAACUAUGCGUCUAGAGGUAUUUUCACAUUUGUUUUUGUUAAUUCCAUCACCAUCAAAGGCAAUUUCAUCUUUUAAGGUCCAUUAAUUGAUUCUUUUAAUGGAUAAAGUUAUUGGCAAGUUAGAGGUGAUCGUGCAUUGUGUUCAGCUGAGGCACUGACUUGGACUGACAUCAACAGACAUGAUUGUAUCCUUAUUA